AGUGAACGCUGGCGGCAGGCCUAAUACAUGCAAGUCGAACGGCAGCACAGCAGAGCUUGCUCUGUGGGUGGCGAGUGGCGGACGGGUGAGGAAUACAUGGGAAUCUGCCCAGUCGUGGGGGAUAACGUAUGGAAACGUACGCUAAUACCGCAUGCGCCCUACGGGGGAAAGUCGGGGACCGCAAGGCCUGACGCGAUUGGAUGAGCCCAUGUUCGAUUAGCUAGUUGGCGGGGUAAAGGCCCACCAAGGCGACGAUCGAUAGCUGGUCUGAGAGGAUGAUCAGCCACACUGGAACUGAGACACGGUCCAGACUCCUACGGGAGGCAGCAGUAGGGGAAUAUUGGACAAUGGGGGCAACCCUGAUCCAGCCAUGCCGCGUGAGUGAAGAAGGCCCUCGGGUUGUAAAGCUCUUUUGUCCGGAAAGAAAAGCAUCUGGUUAAUACCCGGGUGUUCUGACGGUACC
This 463-nucleotide ribosomal RNA is filed under the name uncultured bacterium. RNAcentral's name for it is "bacterial SSU rRNA". It matches the Rfam family "Bacterial small subunit ribosomal RNA", at positions 29 to 479 of the family's 1533-position model. The record is from RNAcentral.